Zonotrichia leucophrys gambelii is the source of this 2381-nucleotide RNA transcript. It is a transcript of the gene named PRELI domain containing 3A, with no coding region annotated. The transcript is spliced from 7 exons. Lineage: Eukaryota; Metazoa; Chordata; Aves; Passeriformes; Passerellidae. The record is from RefSeq and is a predicted model, not a curated record.
CCGGGCACGCCCCCCGCGCCCCUCCCGGCGGCCGCUCGCGCUCGCCGAGCCGGCGCGAGGCUGUCAGGCAGCCGGGCUCCGCCGUCGCGCGCUCUCCCUGGCGUCGGGCUCUGCGAGACGCACCGGGAGCGGCCAUGAAGAUCUGGAGCUCGGAGCACGUGUUCGGGCAUCCCUGGGAUACAGUGAUCAAAGCUGCUAUGAGGAAGUACCCCAACCCCAUGAAUCCGUGUGUGGUGGGAGUGGAUGUCCUGGACAGGAGCCUGGAUAACCAGGGGAGGCUGCACAGUCACCGCCUGCUCAGCACGGAGUGGGGACUGCCCAGCAUUGUCAAAGCGAUAUUAGGAACAAGUAGAACUCUGACUUACAUAGAGGAGCAUUCUGUGGUAGAUCCAGUGGAAAAGAAGAUGGAGCUUUGCUCAACUAAUAUUACACUCACAAACUUGGUGUCUGUUGACGAGAGACUGGUUUACACACCUCAUCCAGAAAACCCGGAAAAGACUGUGCUAACCCAAGAAGCAAUUAUUACUGUUAAAGGCAUUAGCUUGAGCAGUUAUCUGGAAAGCUUGAUGGCAAAUACAAUAUCUUCUAAUGCCAGAAAGGGGUGGGAUGCUAUUGAGUGGAUAAUUCAAAAUUCUGAGAGCGCUCUAAGCUAGCAGUUCUCCACACCUGCAGUUUGUACUAACUAGUGGUAAUGCCAGCAUUCUCCUUCUUGGGCCGGGAUGCCCUGGAGUGGGUGAUCAGCAAACUAAACACAGAACUGGAAGAGCUGAAGUCCACGCGUGAGGGGAUCAAACCAGCCAUGGCAGCAGCGUCCACGGAACAAUAAAGCCAAAUCUUUGGGUUCACCAAAUAAAACCAAGAAACUGACAGAAAAGUCUUAUUCUGCAGACUGCUCUGUAGAGCUCCCUCCCAAGGCUGAUCUGCAGAGGAUUUGUCCAUUUGUAAGAAUACUGGAUCAGCGGAAAAGUAACCUCAUCCAUCAUCUCCACGCAGCUCUUGUUGCCUACUGAAGUUUAAACUGACCUCCUGCAGAUGCUCUUUUCAUUUGAACAGUUUAUGUUUAACACUGGAAAUAAAAUGUUUAGCACAUUCAAAGCAGCCUAAAUGUACCUUUUCAAAUAAAGGUAGAGGACAUGUUAUAUUUACACCAUCUCAAACUGAAAAGCUUGAAAAAAAGCAUGUGUGGGAUUAAGGGUUUUCUGUGUGAACUUUUGUUCUGUAAAGGGCUGAUAGGCCCUAGAGCACUGAAUUUUGUCUGGUUUGUAAUCUGAUAAUGUCUUAUGGCCAGUUAAAGGGAACUACAUGAGUCAGAACAUGAUACUGUAAAUCUGAUAUUUAUCUAGAGGAUCAUCUUGAAAGGCUACAUCUUGUGUGGAACUAACUCUUCUUAGGUGCUGCCUGAACAUGACACAUAGAUAAUUUACCUCUUAGAUAUUUGUAUCCAAACAAAGAUAAAGUUUCUAUUGAUGUUAAUAGCCUAAGAUAGUUUUUCUGGUGGGAAGAAGGGUAUAAUUUAUUUUCUUAUUUAUUAAUUUUUCCUCUUUCCUCCCCUCCCUGUGGGGACAGGGAUUACUUGAAGGUGCUGGAAAAUACUUACUUAUCUCUAAGAAGGGUAUUUGUAGGCUGCUGGAAUGAAGAGACCGUGCUGUUCCACUGGUCCUUGUUCUUCACAUCACAUCUUACCUGAGGGAGAAAUUGAUGCAAUAACCAGAAGAGUUGAAAUGAGAAAUGAGCAGAAAAUUUUACAUCUAAAUGAUAAGGUUUCAUAAAGAGAAACUUUUAAUUUCCUGAGUGGAGAAAACAAGAAUACAAGAACCACAAGUGGACUCUCAUUUCUAAAUGCUUUUUGUUAACUACUGACUACCAGUGUAACUGAACCUUUUCAACUCUUUUCCACGUGGGUACAAAAUGGUUUUAAAAUCGUUUGAAAUGCUUCUCAUUAUCUGGAAAAAUACUCCAAUAACUGCAGAAACUUUCCUAUUAAAUAUGCAUAAAUAUAUAUUGGUGAUGACUCUAACCUUGUCUGAUGUUUACAGAAUUGUCAUGUUUGGUCCAGAUGUAAUAUGUGUUUCUCUGACAGAACCCUCUGUUAGGGCAUUUUAACUUAUUUCUUGUUAUGCACACAAAGUGAAACAAGUGUUGCAAGGAUGUUUACUUGUUCAAGUGGCAAGCAUGUGCUCAGGAAGCUGUUAAAGAGCAUGAGUAACUUCUGAAAAAAUUGAAGAGUAAAAUGUUGGUCACUGUUUUGAUCUGAUAAUUUUAAAGUGUUUGUAGCUUAAGGGAAUUUGCAGCAUUCAUAUUCUGGUUGGUUUGAAAGUAAACUUUAAUCUGGGUGUAACUAAAUUACAUGAUCCUAAUGAAUAAACCUACUUUAAAAAAUA